GUUUAGGAGCUCCAUUUUCAAUAUAGCAAAAUUCUCUCUCCUUUCUGCUCCCAAUUUACUGUUUUGACUCGGACACAGAAGAAAAAAUUUAUAUAUAUAUAUAUAUAUAUAUUUGGGAGUAGAAAGGAGAGGGAAUGUUGCUAUAUAUAUUGUUCUGUAGU
Non-coding RNA from Podarcis lilfordi (Lilford's wall lizard), 161 nucleotides. The record is from the annotation of a GenBank genome assembly. Lineage: Eukaryota; Metazoa; Chordata; Lepidosauria; Squamata; Lacertidae.